CCUACGGGUGGCUGCAGUGGGGAAUAUUGCACAAUGGGCGCAAGCCUGAUGCAGCCAUGCCGCGUGUGUGAAGAAGGCCUUCGGGUUGUAAAGCACUUUCAGCGGGGAGGAAGGCGUUAAGGUUAAUAACCUUGGCGAUUGACGUUACCCGCAGAAGAAGCACCGGCUAACUCCGUGCCAGCAGCCGCGGUAAUACGGAGGGUGCAAGCGUUAAUCGGAAUUACUGGGCGUAAAGCGCACGCAGGCGGUCUGUCAAGUCGGAUGUGAAAUCCCCGGGCUCAACCUGGGAACUGCAUUCGAAACUGGCAGGCUAGAGUCUUGUAGAGGGGGGUAGAAUUCCAGGUGUAGCGGUGAAAUGCGAAGAGAUCUGGAGGAAUACCGGUGGCGAAGGCGGCCCCCUGGACAAAGACUGACGCUCAGGUGCGAAAGCGUGGGGAGCAAACAGGAUUAGAUACCCUUGUAGUC
Molecule: ribosomal RNA, 465 nt
Filed under: uncultured Klebsiella sp.
Lineage: Bacteria; Pseudomonadati; Pseudomonadota; Gammaproteobacteria; Enterobacterales; Enterobacteriaceae
Description: bacterial SSU rRNA
Rfam family: Bacterial small subunit ribosomal RNA
Source: RNAcentral